RNAcentral lists this long non-coding RNA (3706 nucleotides) under Falco tinnunculus (common kestrel). Its description in RNAcentral is "lncRNA (ENSFTIG00000002775.1)". The record is from RNAcentral. Lineage: Eukaryota; Metazoa; Chordata; Aves; Falconiformes; Falconidae.
CAGCAAGUGACACAAGCUGAUAGCAGGUUGAAAUUUCUUGUUUCAGCUCCAAACUUCGUAUGUGUAGAUUGUCAUUCUGUAACUGUCUCCUGCCUAGCCAUAACAACUGUUUUGUCUCUUUAGGACAGUGGUAGAAGAUGCUCCUUCUCCUUCUGUUUGCAAGUGCUUUCUCCUUGUUCCACAGGCUGGGGCUGGUCGCUAGAAGGGACCUCUCUCAAGCCUGUGAGGGCCAAUCAAGGGACUUCUGGCAUCUGAGGUGGUCAUCCACACGUCUUACAUGGUCUGCAGAAUGCAAAAACAGCACUGAGGAGACACCAGGAGAGAUAGAGACAAAACUGGCAUCAGGCAGUAUAACCUACAAAAUCGCAGACAGUUAUUAUUAGCUUUUUCUACCCAAAGGACAAGGCAAAGCAGGAAAAGAUGCAUUUUGCAGUUUAAGGUUUUGUCCCAUAGGAGCUGGAAUAACUUGAAUGAUAGAGACAGCCAUCACAACAUAGGUCUCAGCUGUGGAAUGAUUAAACCCCAGAAUUAAAGCAAGCUUUUACUAGACUAAAUAAAAACCUGUUAAACCUGAUUUCCACAGCUGCAUUUUGCCUUCUUAGGCUACAGCAAGACAGUGAAGAUUAGCUGAAGUCCUUCAUAAAGGAUGCCCACCUAAAAUAACCUUUGCUUCAUUAUCAUGCCUAAUCUCACAGAGCUGAAUUAUAUCUUUGUCACAACUGAAGUCACAACCCUGAAGGACUCUGCCACAUGUAUUUCAAAGUGGUGAGCGCCUUUAUCUACCUUAGAGGUACCCCAGGCAACAGGAAUCAGUUUCACUGUCUAUAUUAAUAUUUGUAGUACAGAGGCUGCUAAAUCUUUGCAUACAAUCUCUCAAUAUUUACCCAGAGCUGUAUGAAGGGGCAUGACCUUGCCUUUAAAUGGGAGCUGGCCACUGCUACUACAGAAGAUAAAGAAGUGGAAUAUAAGAGCUUUUUUUUUCUCCCCUGUAGUGUCAGAAGUCAGUCACCUUCCAGACAGCUGGGUGGUUUUGCUGAAGACUCACUACCCAUAUUCACAACCACUGUGCUGGUGCAUCAUCUAAUCAGCUACUUAACAGAGCAAGUGGGAGCAGGUUCUAUCUAGGUAGUAACUGCAUUCAGCUGUGACAUUUCAUUUAAUACCGAAAUAGAUUUUAGAUUUUUUUUUCUUUUUUUUUUUCUAAGAAAAUGCUCACAUGCUCCCCUCAAUUCUUGCCAGUUUAAUUACACCUUCAAUAAUUCAUUCGGUAGUUGCUCAAUCUGCCUACUUGAAUUAUUAAGUAGAAGAGUGGAAAAAUCUGCAACUAAGCACGUGAGAUGGAGCACCCUAGGAAUGCAGCUAGGGCUGGGCACACACAACAUCUGAGAGCGAGUCCUGGAGCAAUCCUCCAUCUGAGCCUAAUCUCAUGUCUCUGAACACACUGAAUUUCCUUGCUUCCCUCCCUCUCUGCCUUUGUGUUUUUCCUUCUUAUUAACACAUCCCGUCACCUUUCUGGAACAAAACUUUUGGGUGUAGUUGUGGCUUCCCCAGCAAACUGUCUGUCUUUUUAUAUGCUGAAUGGAAAUGUCAGGUCCCAAACACACUUCCAGGAAAGACCUCAGAAGAACAAGGAAAGGUUUAUUUUCAGGAGCUAGGGAAAAGCAUAAGGUAUCUCAGACUUCAGUGGGGGUAAAGAUAAGGGUUUCAUACAAUAGCUGAAGAUUAAAAAGAUAAAUCCUUAGAAGAAAAUAUGGGAAGAAGGAACAUCUCACAGAUGUGUCAGAGAUGUGGGAAUAGUAAAACAAAGCUGAUAGCUUCACUGACACAAAGGAAUGUGGAAAGCAAGAGGGAGAAUGGAUUUGGGAUUAUACAUAGAAUGGCAGAGAGAAAGUAAAAUGACACGAUAUAAUUAACUACCUUUAUUGAAGCUUUCUUUCAGCUGCUAAAUUUGCAUAUAUGCUUCCCAUAUUGAUCCAUGUUUCUGGUUAUUAACUUGUGACAUAGUCAUCCACUUGAAAAGAAUUUCUGAACAAUGCAAUCAGGUUAUUAAUUUCUCUGUUAGAGAGCUUGUUUAACCAAUAAGAGUUCUUAAUAUUUUAAGAAAAUUUUCCCCUACUUAGAAGAAUAUAUGGAAUAUGUGUGAAUAAGUAGUAGAAAAAACCUUACCUGUCAAGGAAAGUGGUGAGCUAAUUAGAGCACUUCUCACAGGCUGAUGCAAUAUUAAAAACUAAUUAAUUACAAAAUGUGGCUUUCUGCUGGCUUUGAGAAAACCAGUGCAUAAAUUAAUUGAAAGAUACUGCAGCCAGAUAUACUACAGGGCAAGCAAAUCAAAACCAUUCUGGUCAUUCUGGGUUAUAAAACCCACAACUGGUGGUGGUCCACAGCUAACAAUCUGUGUUCUCUCUGCAGGGCCCUAUGAGAUCAACGUGCUCAUGACAAGAUCUCAGCGCUUACGAUGAGAUCUCUGCUUUCCCUAUAGAGUACCAGCACCGAGCACUCUCGAGCUGCUCAUUCCCCUUCCCCCUCCAUACACAUUUCCAUAUUGCUGCUUUUCUGAUAAUCCCCCAUGGCCUUGGGACUUCCUCUGUAGCUAAAAUAAGAUAUAAAGCCAUACUAGUUUCAGCAUAAUAAGUACUGCAUCAGACCUCUACUUCUAUAUACUGCCAGUCUUUCCAGCCGAUCAGAAGCAGAAAAAAUUGGAUACGCACAUAUCUCAGGGUGAGCAGAUGGAGGAUUCUCCUCAGUACGAGCUCUUCAUUGUUAGUGUUAUAUAUUGCUGCCACUGGAGCUGUGCAGACACAAAGCAUUCUUUUGUAGAAGCUGAAUUUCACAAAAGAACAAUGUCCUUUUCUUUAAAGGAAAAUACAAAGUGGAAAGAAGUCAACGAGGUACAGAGAGUCCUCCAUGUUUAUUGACUAUCUUGGGGACUGAAUGCUGAAAGUAAUUUGCACCAGGUUGUUCACCAGUUCUUGAGCUUUGUCUCAGAAUUUUGCUUUACUGGAAAAUGACUGAGGAAGAGAGUGGGAAUUGUGCCAGUCCAGGAUUUAAAACUGAAAAUGGAGGAAGCCUGAGAAUACUGUUUAACUUCUGCCCUGCAUGAAUUCAUUUAUUGCAAAAUCUGGAGGGACCCACUCUACACACUGUAAAGCCCACCAGUAGGUUGACUGGAAAUAUGGAACCAUACUUAUCCGCGUGUACACAGCUUCGAUCAAUCAUUUACCAAAGGUGAAAUUAGCCCCAAGGUCACGCACAGAAAAUAGGAGGAGGGUACUAAGAAAAUUGGGCUGUAUAAAAUGUAAGCUCUUUUAAGAAAGGUGUCCAACAAUUAGUGUUUUCUUAAAAUUUCAAAAGGGGAAAGUAAGUGAUUAGGUUGGGAAAACACAAGACAUGCCAAAGCCAUGAAUAUUUUGGUAGUAAGGUACACAGCACAGGGAAGUCCACCAUGGCCAGAUUAUAAUGUAAAUAUCUAAAAAUUCAGGCACUGCAGCAAGAAUUGCUUCAUGGAUGGAGUCCAGGAAAGCAGAGCACUGAGCAGUCCAUGGAAAACAAUAGCUGGCAGUUUCUGCACCAGGAACAAGACUAGAGGUUGAUGCCUGGCCUGUCAAACAUCCCCCAUACUUCCGUUUCACUGAUGGAAGAACUAUGGUACAUUAAAAAUAGCUUCAAUUUAAAAAUCUGAGCUCCAUAUUCUCUACAGCAAGGGCAG